CCAAAAGAUAAUCUUUCACUCGAAAGAUCUUUUCCUUUGUGCUGGCUUUGACCGUAUGUAAUUUUGGGACUUAAACAUGGUAGCCUUACGGUUGCCGGUCCCAAAAACAAUAUAUCAUCCUUAUGAAAACUUACUGAACAACUAAACAAUGAUUUAAUAAUCUGUUUAAAA
This 171-nucleotide unclassified non-coding RNA is filed under the name uncultured fungus. Its description in RNAcentral is "sequence contains ITS1". The record is from RNAcentral. Lineage: Eukaryota; Fungi.